GCCCUAGGGGGACAGCAGUGGGGAAUAUUGGCCAAUGGGGGGAACCCUGGUCCAGCGACGCCGCGUGAGUGAAGAAGUAUUUCGGUAUGUAAAGCUCUAUCAGCAGGGAAGAAAGAAAUGACGGUACCUGACUAAGAAGCCCCGGCUAACUACGUGCCAGCAGCCGCGGUAAUGCGUAGGGGGCAAGCGUUAUCCGGAUUUACUGGGUGUAAAGGGAGCGUAGACGGCGAUGCAAG
RNAcentral lists this ribosomal RNA (236 nucleotides) under uncultured bacterium. Its description in RNAcentral is "partial 16S ribosomal RNA". It matches the Rfam family "Bacterial small subunit ribosomal RNA", at positions 335 to 587 of the family's 1533-position model. The record is from RNAcentral.